RNAcentral lists this unclassified non-coding RNA (191 nucleotides) under Niesslia exosporioides. RNAcentral's name for it is "partial internal transcribed spacer 2". Lineage: Eukaryota; Fungi; Ascomycota; Sordariomycetes; Hypocreales; Niessliaceae. The record is from RNAcentral.
CAACCCUCGCUCGCCCCUUCGGGGGCGGCGGUGUUGGGGACCGGCCCCGCCCAGCGCGGCGGCCGCCCCCGAAAUGCAGUGGCGGUCCCGCCGGCGCCUCCCCCGCGUAGUAGCAACCCCUCGCGGAUCGGGAGCGCUGGCGCGGUACCAAAGCCGUAAAACCCCCCAACUGAAGGCCCACGGGCCGAAGA